Parus major (Great Tit) is the source of this 4889-nucleotide long non-coding RNA. RefSeq lists it as uncharacterized. Lineage: Eukaryota; Metazoa; Chordata; Aves; Passeriformes; Paridae. The record is from RefSeq and is a predicted model, not a curated record. The transcript has 3 exons.
CCCUUCCAACCUCACCUCCCCUGCCCUACCUGUGCUCUCUCCCCUCCCCCAGACCACGUGGACGCCGAGGCUGGUGGCGGACACGGGUCUCCCCUCCUUUUACCCUUAUAAUAAAUUGCUUAUACUUGAACAGCUGACCCUGGAGAAGUCUCUCACCGCGAGCGAGCAUUUUUUUACAUCCCCAAUAAGUACACAAGCAUUAGCUGACUUCAUCUGAGUGUGGUGCUGAUCAUUUGCCCUAUUGCACCACUCAUUGAGAUCUUCCCCAGUUAUCCCCUUAGUAAAUCAGGGACCUCAAGCUGUGUUAAAAGAGGAAGAAAAGAACAGGGUGUGUGCUUUCCCUUUAUAAAUCUCACACUCCUGUAGCGAGUGCAAAGCUGCAGGAAGCAGGGGCUGUGCUCACACACCCACUCCCCCGAAUGUGCACUGUCAAAGACCACAACAGGAGGUUUUGGCUUCCUUGCACGAUGGCCACAGAGCUGUGAUCAAUCCCUGUUCCUCUUGACACUGUUGCAGGACACUGCUGUUUGACUUGAGUACAUGUGAACUUACUGCAGACCUGGCACUCUUGCAUGGCCUUCUUCCCAAAGUCCUCAUGCCGCAAGGGAAGCAAUCCUGGCUGUAAACACGGAGCUGCACCCUUUAGCUGCCCCUAACACUGGCACAGUUAUGCAAUGACCAGAAGUAACAGAAUGCACGUGUUCCUAAAUUACAAGGUAUGGCGGUGUAUCCGGGAGGUGAGAACUGAGGAAACAGUACCAGGGCUAGGAGGGUACCAGGGCGAGGAGCCCUUGGCUCUACAGCAGCACCAGAGCAAGCUGAAAUUCACAGGAGGCAGUGGCCAGGCAGCAACAUUUACCAUGCACUAUUGGCUACAAUACACCACGUCUACAAUAUACAUGUGGUUUUUUGGUGUUGUUGUUGUUCUGGUCAGAGUUUUGUUGUUUUUUUUUUUUUUUUUCCUUUUAAACAUAGCACAAGUUCAAUUCAGAGUAUCACAGUUUUUUGUCUGAAGUGUUUGCAUUAUGCAACAUGAGCAUCAGGUUAAGGAGAAAACCAAAAAGUCCUGCAGGUACUUUGAUUUUUUUUCUGAGCCCCUUCUUAAAAGACUUAAGUUUUCAAAUGAGUAGAGGCCUUCCCUCCACCCAGAGAGCAAGGCUGACAUCCUGGGUUAUAGUCCUAGUCCUGGUAAGGGCUCCUUAACUGAGAAAUGUGGGUUGCAAGACUUGGCCUUUAGUAAGAAACAAUAAUAUUACAGGAAAACUUACUGUAUGCUUUUGAACAUCAACACUUAAUUACCCUUCUAUUUUCUAAUACAGACAUGAUGUCUGGAGUUGAACAAACACAUUCCUGAAAGGUCAGAACAUUUAAACUGUGUGUACCUAGUUUAGGAUGACAAACCUGUUGCUGCUUUUUAGCUAUGACAUUUCAGUUUACCCACAAGAAUUGCACUACUUCCCCUAAAAGUUUUCAAGCUAGAGAACAUACUCUUCUACCAGUGUCUAGGGCACUGGGAAGGCAAAAAUCUUUUUCUACAUAAAUUUAUCACAGCUGCCACUGAAUCCUGUGACUUACGGAGAUUUCUGCCUUUCCGCCAAAAAGGGCUUGAGCCAGCAGCAUGCACAGGGAUACCCUGUCCACUUUGAGGAGAGGGGCAGGUUCAGCUGGAUGGCAGCCAAUGAAGAGCUGCUGCCCAGGCCAGCACACACAACCAUUCACCAAACUUUGCAAACCUGAAUGAACAACUAUGAAUUCUCCCCGACCACACAGCUGGAGGACAAGUAGCUCUUCAUUUUUUUCUGAAAGAAUGGGAGGAACUUCUAUUUCAGCUAUCAUACAUGGGUUAAUGAAGAUGUAACUGCUGCAACCAUCAGAAAACAACCAUCCAGAUGGCACCAUGGAGUGUUCCCUGGAAGCUGCAAGGACCUUGCAAACUGGGAACAAAAGUUUGGAUUUCCUGAAAGUGUUCUCAUCUGUUACUAAACACAGUGUUGCGUCCACCUUCAAGUUUCAGGGCACUCAAGGAAUUGAAGGGGCACUAGUUUAACCCUAAUCCAGAGAGGGGAGGUUCACUUAAUUUCAACAGAGCUUCUUGAGAUGACUUCAUCACUUCAGACCAUAUUUCUUCCCUGGAGCUCAGAGAUCCUGAAGCCAAGGCCACACUGAGCUAGUUCUGGGACUAAUUAGCAUGGGUGGGCACUGUGUUAAUGCAACCCACCUGGCUGGGACAUGCUAGGACCUGAGCAGGACAUUGCAUGUACAGUGCCCAUGUAGUCUCAGCAAUCUUAAGCAGAAUUGUACUGAGAGACAGCCCCCAUAAGAACAUCUUAGGCACAGUAAGAUGACUGUCCUCUAUAAGAAAUGACAGCCCCUCAGGUGAAAGUAGCUGAACACCAGCUGAGAAGCACUGACUGACUGCAAACACAAUGGAAAUAGAAUAGGUGAGCCACUACAAAGUGGCUGAAGAUAACCAUUUUAUUUCACUCUCAGGUACUGCUCUGUAGAAGGAAAUUAAACUCCUUAAAUGGACUAACUUGCAUACUUCCAAGUGCUUACCACGGGUACAACCUCUCACCUCCAUCUGUACCCAUUCAAAGCUCUGCCAGGAUCUUGAAAGCAUUUCCUGCAUACAUCAUGACCAUCAAUAUGCAUUUCACCAGUCUCCCAUUCCCAACUUCCUAUAAGAGGGCCUACUUCUCUUCUGAAGCAAAUGUUCAGCAGUGUCUCUCCUAGUGCCCACCAGCACCACAGUGCAUACCCAGCCCUGUGCGCCUCAUCCCACCCCUGUUGGGGAAGAGAUCUUCAGUUCUUCAAAACUAUCUGACGUCCUACUGAACUUGAUUGAAGAGACUGCAGCGAAAUUGUACCUGGUUUCCUGUGCUUCAGUCUACAUUUACUAAAUGUGAUGUAGGAAAUGGGCAGGAAACGCCAACCUUAUGUAGGGCAGCAAUUCUUCCUCUUCCCUCCAUGAUACGUUUGAGUAGUACACCAAGACCUGACCUUGCACGUUUUAGUGUAGCCUUUCUUACACAAAUAUUUGAGUCAGAUCCGGAGGCAAAAACAAACAGAAAGCCAAACACAUUGCCAAACACAUUAUUUUUUUUUAAUGAAAAAGGCUGACACACUGUUUUAUACCUAUUUGUACUCAAAUCUGAAAUGUACUGAACAUUUUUAACUGCAGGAAUUUGUUAAGAUCAACAAAAAUUUAAAAAACUCAACAUAUUUUUUAUUCUGAUGCUGGUGUAAAAACUGUUGAAGAACUCGUAUUAUUUGGGCACCAUACAGACAUGAGAGGUGCUGAUACACAAAAAAGGUGUACUAUUUGUUAGGAGGUUUCAACUGUUGUAUUUUUCCUUUUUACAGUCAUCUUCACUUUGCUUCUAUUUCAAAAUCUAAUCAGAAAACCAACACAGAAUUAGUCCUUCACCAUGUUUCUUUGCACAAUUGUUUGGACAAUGUAUUUAAAAUAGCACUCUUCUACCCUGGCAGCAUUUUAUAUUUACUUUAUCCAGGUGUAAAUGACAGCCUAAAGAAUAAGGAAUUGUAAUCAGAUACAGCAUAUCUUUCCCUAAUAAAAUUACCUCCCUUUUCAUCUUGAGCACCUAAAGCUGAAAUACAAUUUCCUUCUUUUGUUUCCCCAUUCAUUAUAUAUGAACAGGGACAAAUAAAUGUCAAGUGUAUCUUUAAAGGAAAAAUGCACCACUAUUUAUCAGUCCCCCAAUGCAAAAAAAAAAUAAUAAAAAAAAAUUUAUUCUUCUUGAAGUACUUUUUCUUAAUAUACAAUAAGACACCAAAAAUAACACAUGGGAGAAACGGGGUGGCAUUGGAGCAGACUGUUGAUUUAUGGAAGUUUCUGCUCCAGCUGAGCCCUGUGUUGCCUUACACAGUGUUUCCUGGUUUAUGUGAGACAAAUACGCUCUUUAAGAAGACAGAGAGUAAAUCACAAGUGUCAACAUGAGCAACUCCCUGAAAAUAAACUUUGCUCAUUUACAAUACAGAGUUUCUAGUGUGGCACAUGGAACUGCACUGCGGGGAAAGAGCUUGCCAUGCUCCUGAGAGCAAGCUGGGCCUAUGGCAAAGCACAGGGCCCCACUCCUCAACUCUGUCAAGAAAACGGGACUCCUGGGAAGAAUGGCAUGUUGGCCAGAAGCUGUCACCAGGUUUCCUCACCAAGCACUUGUGCAAGAUGAGAUUCUGCUUGUCACUAAGUGCCCCCACUCCCAGGGCUCAGGGUGCCUUUUGGGAUGGGGCUGGGAUACGAGGGCACUUUGAGCAGCACUUGCACAGCAGCUCUGAAAACUGUGGGCUCUUCUGAACUGCCCAUUUCAUGAUGCCAAAAUGGAGCUGUUAUGGGAUUCCUAGAUGCCUUUCACAUUGCCAUGGUGACCCAGAUUAGUUUUGAGUUUUCUGAAAGAGGCCAAACUUCUUUUUGCAGAAGCUCAUGGAUGCAAUGGGAAGGACAGAAGGAAAAUUAACCUCAAGUACAUUUCCACUAUUUUCUAAUGAUCUGUACCUAACUCUAAGAGAAUCCAAGAACCAGAAGAAAUUUCUAUUACCCCUACAUAUAUAUCUCCAUAUAAGAAAACAGUGGCAACCUUCACCAGCACAUAGUAAGCUCCUGGCUUCUGAAGCACAUGAUUGUCAAACACCUAAAUACUUUUAAUAGAAACCUGGUCCAUUAACAAGCUGAACCAUCAAGCAGUCACACAAGAAAAGCAAACAACCCCAGAAAGAGCUGAUGUCUUUCCAUGCUGAACAGAAACCUAUUUACAGUAAGCAAAAUAAUGCAGCAUCUAAUAAUGUUUUUCCUCCCUCUCCAAUGCAUCUGCACAUAACUUUCCCUUUGUUCCUCAUGCAAAUUCAAAGAAGCAAACCUUGCCCUUGUCUGU